Molecule: long non-coding RNA, 1009 nt
Filed under: Callithrix jacchus (white-tufted-ear marmoset)
Lineage: Eukaryota; Metazoa; Chordata; Mammalia; Primates; Cebidae
Description: lncRNA (ENSCJAG00000078727.1)
Source: RNAcentral
CAGAACUAUAUUAUUUGGAAGCACAGAUUGGUAAGAGAAAGUCCAAGCAGAGGAGUGUGAAGAGGAAUGGAAAGAAACAAAACUGUUCCAUUAAAAAGGAAAGAGUUGAAAAAUUCACGGUUGUGCAGUAGUGCUGGCAGCAGCUUCGCGGUUCCGUCCUCGGACCCAGCAGCCGCUACUGGUGCUAAGCUGCUAGGAGGCCCCUGUCAGCGAGCUCCUUGGAGCUUGAACCCAUUGUCAUCCAUCUGACUCACCGGCCAAAAAUAAAAUGUUGAAGCAGAUUGCCCAGGAAAGCCCUUAAUUGAUGGGCUUAAUACGGAAACAAAUGAGAAAACUCUUGAAGCAGUAUUUGGCAAAUACGGAUGAAUAGUGGAUGGUCUUUGAUGAAAGACCAUGAAACCAACAAAUCAAGAGGAUUUGCUUUUGUCACCUUUGAAAGCCCAGCAGACACUAAGGAUGCAGCUAGAGACAUGAAUGGAAAGUCAUGAGAUGGAAAAGCCAUCAAGGUAGAACAAGCCACCAAACCAUCAUUUGCAAGUGGUAGACGUGGGCUGUCUCCACCUCCAAGAAGUAGAGGCCCUCCAAGAGGUCUUAGAGGUGGAAGAGGAGGAAGUCGAGGAACGAGGGGACCUCUCUCAUGGGAAUGACACAUGGAUGGUAGAUAUUCCACGAAUUUUAAAUUGAGUUCUUCCAGGGGAUCACUCCCAGUAAAAAGAGGACCAUCCCCAAGAAGUAGAGAGGGGGGAUCCUCCUCCUAAGAGAUCUACACCUUCAGGACCACUUCGCAGCAGCAGUGGAAUGGGAGGAAGAACUCCUGUAUAAGGUGGAAAGGAUAGUUAUUGAGGUCCACCUUGAAGAGAACCACUGCCCUCUCAUAGAAAGGUUUAUUUGUUUCCAAGGGAUGAUGGGUAUUCUACUAAAGACAGCUAGUCAAGCAGAGAUUACCCAAGCUCUCAUGAUACAAGAGAUUAUGCACCACCACUAAGAGAUUAUACUUACCAUGAUUAUA